AUGGAAGGUGCUGGUCCAUUCCACUGUGAGGAACCACCGAAUGAUCACGGAAUUAGCAAGAACUUCCCAUUCCACCGUGAGGAACCACCGAACGAUCACGGAAUUAUGAAGAACUUCCCAUUCCACCGUGAGGAACCACUGAAUGAUCACGGAAUUAUCAAGAACUUCCCAUUCCACCGUGAGGAACCACUGAAUGAUCACGGAAUUAUCAAGAACUUCCCAUUCCACUGUGAGGAACCAACGAAUGAUCAUGGAAUUACCAAGAAUUUUGCCAUCUAGUUAGAGAUGAGAUGCUUAUCCCCGUAAAGCUGAAUUUGCAACACAAACCCCCAAAAUAGUAAAGAUGCUAGAAGUACUUUCCUGACAAUAUCUCAGAGCCAUAUACACAGUAAAUGUUGUCCACCCCAAGGGACUGCUCAGGGUGGAAUUAUCUGCGAAGUCUGGAGGACAAUCUGAGAUUUUAAGGAUGGACAAGUUCCAGAUAGGUAGAAAGAUCAGAGAGAGCAAUGGGUUAUUCAACAAAUAUUUAUUACAUGCUUAAUCACAGUCAGGCUCUGUGCUGAGGGUUGGAGACACUGGGAUGGACUAGACAGUCCCUUCAAUGAGUCUGUCAUCUACAGAGGGAUAAACAAGAAACUAGGGAGUAGUGGAAGGCAUCAAGAUGGGAAAACGAGAAGCUGUUUCUGGGAAAAUGCAGCCUUUGUUUUCUUUAUCACAAGAAGUCUGGCUAAGAGACCUACCAUCUGGAAACGAAGGCAGCCCUUGUGGGUUACUCUGGCAUUGAGAAAAUGUGUCCUCUUCAAGCCUCACAGACGUGACAGUCCUCCUAUGGGAUAGAGAAGGGGCAGGCUGCUCUUGGGUUACCUCCUACGUACAGCACUCUUCAAAAGACCCUGCAAAAUGCUACUACUUUCUGGAGACCGCUGGCUGAGGGCAGAAACUCUUGCCUCUCUCAUCAGACAAGGUGGGGGAAAAAAGAGGCUGAAACCUAGAGGGGAAGAAUGGAGCUUGCAGAUAGACAAAGGGUGCCAUGCAAGCAUGCUAUAAUCGCUCAUGGAACAAACCUCAGCUUUGCUUAGUAUUCUCUGAUUAAAUAGAGAGAGUCUGCAGAGGAGAGAUAAUAACAUAUGGUUGAUUAUACAGGCAUUUUUUUGUUUUUACUUACUUUACUUUUUUUCUUUUUUGAAACAGAGUUUCGCUCUUGUUACCCAGGCUGGAGUGCAAUGGCGCGAUCUCGGCUCACCGCAACCUCCGCCUCCUGGGUUCAGGCAAUUCUCCUGCCUCAGCCUCCUGAGUAGCUGGGAUUACAGGCACGCGCCACCAUGCCCAGCUAAUUUUUUGUAUUUUUAGUAGAGACGGGGUUUCACCAUGUUGACCAGGAUGGUCUCGAUCUCUUGACCUCGUGAUCCACCCGCCUCGGCCUCCCAAAGUGCUGGGAUUAUAGGCGUGAGCCACCGCGCCCGGCCCAGUUUUUUUUUUUUAAUGGCAUGAACUGUUGGUUUACUCUAACAGUAUUGAAAAUGAAUGUUCGCUUGCUCUAUAGUCUAAUGCUGAGAAAGUACUCUCAUUUUCAAUAAUCCAAGUUUUAAUGACUCCACAGGGAUUAGUGAACAAUAACAACAACAACAGAAACUUUAGCUAAUGUCGCCUAAUAAGAGCAUCAGCCAGUCCUCUGCUAGGAAGGUCUGACGUUUCCCUCACAUCUGAUUACCUUCUUGCUUUCAGUGCAGACUUUCUGAGCAUUUAGAAUAUAAAUUUCUGGGCUGUUAAAAUGACGGCCACUUCAUUCACUAGCAAAACAGACCCUUCUUUGAUACAAAGUCUCUACUUUUUUCUGGCAGGCUCCAGGGAGAUCAUUCCCAGAAGACUCAUGUCAGAGCAGCUUUAAGAGAAAGCAAUCUGAACUUUAUUUCAUAUAAGUUUGGGGAAUAGGAAGGACAAUGAGACAGAUGCACUUGUUUAUUUCACUGUCUUUGCAUAGUGAAUCAGUUCCUUAUCCCUGCUGUCCCUUCAAGCCCCAUAAAUCCCUACAAGGGGGUAGUGGGAUCAAAUCACACAUCCAAAUUAUUUGCAAAGAUGUCAACCAAUUCUAACUUCUUUAAUACAGCCACCUCCUAAAGGAGAGAGAAAUCUUCCACAUCGAAGAGAGCUUUCCCCUUUACAAAUUGCAGCUGGGACAGAUGUGCUGUUAUUUAAGCUUUGGAGCUGUGUAAAGUUUUGUUAGGCAAAUCAGUGACCAAACCAUCUCUCCUAGCCCAAAAUCUAUUGUAUACAAAAUCUUAUUUGUAUAUAAAAAAUUUUCUAGGACUUGAAGAAUGGACUCUUUUUUUUUUUUGAGACAGAGUUUCGCUGUUGUUAUCCAGGCUGGAGUGCAAUGGCACGAUCUCGGCUCACCGCAACCUCUGCCUUCUGGGUUCAAGCAGUUCUCCUGCCUCAGCCUCCUGAGUAGCUGGGACUACAGGCACACACCACCAUGCCCAGCUAAUUUUUGUAUUUUUAGUAGAGACGGGGUUUCACCUUGUUGACCAGGAUAGUCUCGAUCUCUUGACCUCGUG
Long non-coding RNA from Callithrix jacchus (white-tufted-ear marmoset), 2555 nucleotides. Lineage: Eukaryota; Metazoa; Chordata; Mammalia; Primates; Cebidae. The record is from Ensembl.